UUUUUUUUUUUUUUUUACAACAAGGUUGUGUUUAUCCUAAUCUAGAGGGAGGGAAGGUUAGAAGUGUUCUAACACCUCUUUAAAGAGGAAUUUUUUUCAAAGUAAGUGUGAUUAGAACCUCCACCUACAGUUUAAAGAGUGAUUUAAUCCCUAUUUAGUAGCUACUAACCUUUGGCUCAGUGGCUAAGACAGAGCACUUACAUUGGUUGUUUAUGCAUUCUCGUGGCACUUGCACUGGUGCCUGUUGGAAAAACCGAAACUAAAAUAUUUUAUUUGUUAUGAAACAAUUAAAAGUAUGGAUGUCCGUUUGUAUUCUCAAGAGAAUUAAUUCAUGAUUUAUGGCUAUAUUAUGUAUAGAAGUUACAAUCCAUAAAUCUAUUCAUGUAGUGGAGAAACCGUUUCAUAAGUUUCUUUAUAUUCUUGUAAUAGUGGGUGUUUAAUAGGAUUAAUGUUCUUUUAAUCUUGUAGUACCUAUAUAUAGAGGUACAUUGACACCCUUUGGAAGGACUUUUGUAUUAGUUGGAAUACAAGAAUAUCACUAACCAUUUCUCUACUUCUUUCUCUAAUACUUCUUCAAUUGCUAUUGUAGUAUCUUCAUUUUAUUAGUUUUAUAACACGUUAUCAGCACGAGUCUCUAUUUUUGAGGAAAAGGUGAAAACGGAGCCUCUAUCAUGAGUAAAAGUGAAACAAGAGAUUCUACCUGUAUUUUUUCGACAACUUCUGUCUACUUAUUGAGGUAAAUUUUUUACACAUAAAUUUAUUUCAAUUUCUUAUGGCUAACAUUUGAAUGAUAAAAAAAUACAAGUGCCUAUUGCUGAGCAAUCAUUAAAUACAAAUAUAUACUGUUUGACAUCUUUGAGGUAAUAUUUCUCCUUUUAAUUCUACUUAUUUAUAUUUAGAAUUAUUUGUUAUAAAUACUUAUAUUUUGAUGCAUUGAGUUUUAGAAAUGCUAUUAUAGAAAAUCAAUUGUAGACACCAAAUUUUGAAUUAAUUGGAAUGCUUUGUUGGCAUUUUAGCUCAUUAUUGUUUAUGCUAUUUUAUUUUAGUUUCAUUCACUUUUUAGUUUUAGUUGUUUUGUAGUUUUUAUUUUUGUAUUUUUGUAAGUUUUAGCGUAGAAUUUUUAGAGAAAGAGAGGAAAAAGUGAAAAAAGAAAAGAGAGGAAAAAGUGAAAAAAGAAAAAAGAGGAAAAGUGAAAAAUGAAAAAAGGGGGGGAAAAGAAAAGGGAAAAAUGGUUUAAUGCAUAUUGGCCUAUUUUUGAAAAAGGAAAAAAUGAAAAGUUUGAAAAUUAAAAAAAAAAAAGAGCUUUUUAGUAUAAUAGGUUUUAUUUACUUUUUGAUACGUUUUAAUUAUUUUUUUUAAAGAAAAGAAAAAUUCCAAAAAUAUUAAUAUUUCAGGUUACAAGCAUUUGUGUUUUGAUUGCAUUUUAUUGUUAUUUCUAUUAUUGUUAUUAUUCAUUUUAUUAUUAUCAAUUUCUGUUAUUUUGGAAAAAAAAAAAAGAAAAAAGGGUUGCCGCAGCAUGAAAGCUGCGGAUAUGCGCAGUUUGCAAAGGGACAAUGGAGCGGCCCCUGAAGCUGCAAAUACAGGAAAAGGACCAGAGUUUCUUAGGGUUGGGGGGCUCUGAUAUAUAAGCAAAAGGAAGACACAGCCGCAGACAGAGGGACUACGAAAGGGAGACGGGAGAGAAAGAGGGAGAGACGGCAAAAGCAAAGAGAAGGAACCAGGAAAAGAGAGGCGGCGUAGGUUUUCGGGAAGAAGAAGAAAGGGUUGGAUUCAGAAAAGAAACAGGGAGAGCUAGAUAGGAAAGGGAAGCUAGAACUAGAGAGAAAGGUUACGGGGGAGCGGCUAAAGAAAGAAAAACCGAGAAGGGAUGGGCGGCUACAUCAGAAAGGAGUGAAAAAGAGAGAGACCAGAGAAGGGAGAACGACGGCAGAGGAGAAUCUGGGAGAGACGAAGGAGCUAGGCUAGUGAGGGCUGGACAGAAAUCAGAAGGAAGAGUCACGACUGGGCAAAAGCUUGGAGCUUUCUGGUCAAACCAAAAAGCAAGAAAGGAGCAAACUUCAGCGAGCAUCUUCACGGUUCAUCAGACUCAGAGUGAAGGUAGCUACUGCUUCCUUGAAUCAUAUUUCGUUGGCAUCAGCAUGAUUUUUUUUCAUUAUUAUCUAGAGAAAGCCCAAUGAGAGUGCAGCAAAUUCCUGAAUAAUAGCCCAGUUGCAUGAUUUUUCUUUUGAAAAACCAUCGCUUUCCUCCUCUUGCACUUUAAAAUUGUUUAUGCUGACUUCAACGUCUCCUUUGCUUCCAAAAAUGGUGAUAAAGGUCUAAACUUUGAGUCUCUGUUCACUUUUUAUGGCGAUGCUAAGCUUGUUAGAGGCCAUGAUAAGUCGAUAAAGAUGUCUGGUUCAGUUGCUCCAACUGGAGCUUGCGAUUAUGUCUACUUGGUUCGAGUUCUGUACGUGUAUAACCUGUUUCUUUUCUUUUACGCUGAGUUCAAUGUAUGGUGGAGGAUUGGGUUGCUUUUCCUAUUAAAAUAGCAUGUUACGGUUUCACCCCUUCCCUUUGUUCUGAUGUGCGGUUCCAUUUCUGUUUUGCUGGUUCACAGUUGAUGAUCUGCGUCUCCAUUUCUGCAUUGGUUACUUGCAUAUCUUUGUCCUAAAAUUUCUGUUUAUAAAGCUAGGUGAUUCAGUUGAUGUUCUUGGCGGUUAUAUUAGAAGGUUGGGAUGGUAUUUCUUGUUGAAAUCACAAGCCGCGAAUAGGAGAAAGUUGCAGCAGCCUUUGUUUUUUUAAAUGUUUGCAUGUUGUUCCAGAUUGGCAUGAUAUCUUUCUUCCAAGUUUUUUUUGGCAUGUUUGGCUUGUGAUAAGUAUGUAUGUGUUGUUUAGAGUAAAGCUGUGAUUGAAAAGGUUUUUUUUUUUUUCUUGUUUUCCGCUCAAAAUGGUCUUUUGGAGCUGAAAUCCGCAAGUGAAAUGAAAUGAAAAUGCAGCAGGCUUGCACUUUCGGUUGGCUGAAUUUUUGCAUUGUUGAAGUGUAUGAUUUGUUUGCCAUGAGAUUGGAAUACCAUGUGCAUGCAUGCCAUGAGAUAGAGUCAUGCUUUGAAGUAGAGUUCAGUUGCAUGUUUGGGGGCUGAAAUGCUUAAAUCGUGUUUGAAUGCUGGCUGGAAAAUGAAUUUCGGUUUGCCGCAAGUCCUCACGUAGCUCUUGCUGUUUUUUUUAUGGUUGUAUUUGUAGUGAAGUAGAUACAAACGUAUAUUUUGGAUGCUGUGAUUGUCCACUAGUUGCUGUUUUCUUUUUCUUCAAUAUGCAGCGCACAUUUCAUCAUUUUUAGAUGGUUUGUGCGUGUCUUAAAAAACUGAUGCAUUGCUGUUCAAGGAAAGAAUAGCAGAAAUUUUCCAGAAAAACCGCAUGCUCCCAUUCAAGGAACCUGUUUUGUGUUGGACGUUGAUUAUCGUGUUUUUGUUGUUUUUGGAAUUGAGGUUUUGAUGUUGGGAUAAAGACAAAUAUAUUAGCUUGAUUUGAAUGGAAAAUGGCAUUAAGAUGAACCCAAAAGUGGCCGAAAGAAUGGUAGCUAGAUUUUGCAGAAGCUUGCUUCGUAGCUUGCAUGCAUUUGCAUGAAAAUGUUUUCCAGAAAUUGCACUUUGACCCCCAAGUCUAUCUUUAUGCCACUAGGGCCCAAGUCAUUGGAACAUUUAAUCAAUUUGAUCCCUCUAAGUUUCUCUUUGUGCCACAAUAGCUCAAGCAUGUUUUAGUAUCUUGUAAUUAAGUCCUAAAAUCAUUGCAACUUCAAUCAUUGUUUGGCUCUUUCUUUAUUUUUGAAAUCUUUGAAGUGCUUAAACGAUUUAUUUGGACUUGAAUGUUUGAGUAAUGCUUGUUUUGGGUCUUUAGUAGAUGCUAUAUUUGGAAAUUGAACGGGUGAUUCCGUUUUCGUGGUCUUUAAGUAUUUUUUGAGCUCAUUCAAGUUGCCAUUAGGAGGUUUUUGAUGUUUUUGCUCAUACUUUACUUUUAAAUUGAUGGCUUGACCCCUUUAUUGUUUUGAAGCCAUUUUCCUUCAUUUGCUUGCCAUUAGGGGAAGGUAUAAUUUCUUUUAUCUUUGUUUAUCUCUCCUAUGUGGUCCAACGUGCUAAUUGAAAUUUGCAAGUCUACUUGCUUUCCUAUCCUCUCUUUAUUUCCUUUCAGUUAUUUCAUUUACUUUUGAUUUUUAUUAAUGGGGUAUGUGUACACCUCUUGGCUUGUAAUAGAUAGGGCGUAGCAAGUAAUUUGGUCCAUUUUCCCUUUCCCUUUUGUUUUAGUUAGCAAAUGUAAUGGUUGCAUGCCUAUGUGUUAUAUGUUAAAUGCUUUAUUAGGAUUUUGCAUCUAGUCAAGAAUGCUAAAUGUUAUGUGCUACGUGUUUAUAAGUGAUUCGCAUGUCUACUCGCUUUUUGUAGUGUGGAUGAAUGGAAUGGAUGAAUGUACGUCACCACACUAGUCCAACGCUAGUUGUGGCUUCUUUUAUCGUUUCCACUAGUCCAACGCUAGUCGGAAUUCAUAGAAUGGGCUAGUCCAACGCUAGACCCUUAGGGAUUUUCCCUCGAUAGUACAUCAUUUGCUUGUUCACCACAUAUCACGCAUUUUCCUUAGUUUUAUCAUUUGGCAUGAUCCUCAAACCCCUUUUCCUCUCAUUUUAGGUUUUGCAUCUCAUGCUAGUUAGGGUUCAUUUGCGUGAAAAUCCCCUCUUGAUAAGGGAAACGAGCGAGUGUGGCUACUCGAUAGCCUUAGCACGCUAGUUUUACCUUCUAAUCCGAGGGAAAAUCAAAGUCGAAAAUUAGGCGUCACCCCCGUACCCGACUUGUUGCAUUCCCCUAGGGUCAUACUUUCAUUUUUAUCACUUCCAUACUCUUUUAAUCACAUUUCUCUCACAUUUAUCAAAUCCAUAUGUUUUUUCACUACCUCCUUAUCAUUUAUUUACUUUACUUCACAUAUGAAAUUCAAGUUUCACUUAUAUAUGUACUAUUCUAUCUUCAUUCAUUUGCACACACUAAUACUUUGAUUUUUCAUCCAAAUUCACACGUGCACUUUCUUUACACACUCACACACUAAUACCUUGAUUUUUCAUCCAAAUUCACACGUGAACUUUCUUUACACAUGCGCACACAAACACUUUGUUUUUACACCAUUUCAUACAUGAACCCUUUAUACACUUGCACACUUGCACUUGAGUCACCAUUUGCAUCAAUCGACCUCUAUGAGGUUUCCCUUUAUUGGCCGCCACAAUUCAUGUGGUCUGGGACCAAAAACCUCACGAGAGACAUCGUAGAAUUUAGGAUUGCAUUUUUUCGUUUUUGCAUUCAUAUAGGCAUAAUCCAACAUGCAAUAUAUACCCUGGGUAGAAAGUUAGGAAAGUUAGGGUUAAGUCACGCAACUAGCCUUGGCUAGGUCAAAGGGGUGCCUUGGAGUCUAUCCUUGCCUUCCCCUUUGUCAAACGUGACUCCCGAACCUUUUUCUUUGUUUUACGUAGACUAGGAGUCGUUUUAAAAAGGGUUUAUUAUUACUUGACUUUAAAACUCAUUUUUUUAGGUGACUUGGUACACCUUAAAUCAUUACCAAGUGGCGACUCCAAACUUUUCAUUUCAAAACCCUUUUUAAAACUAUUUUUUGGGUCAAAUCGUCGCUUUUUCAAGUCCCAUAUUAGACCCAUAUCUUUUUCAACUCACAAAAAUCAUUUUCCAAUCAAAAUUGAAUCAAAAACAUCUUUCUCAAACAAUUUAUUUUUCUUAUCAAAAAAUGGGGCGCGACAUCAAUUAUAUUUGAAGAUCUAUUUGUCCUUUGAAAUAUUUAAAGAAAAAGAUUCGAUCACCUGAAUAUGGUCGUUCUUUAACGAAAAUAUUUGGCCACUAGAAGAUGGUCAUUAUUUCAAAAGCCUGGUAUGAUAAAUUUACGUAUGGCUACAAGAACAUAAUUCUGCAAUUUUUAGAAUUACUUCUCAGUUGAAAUUGUGUCGAGAAAAUUUUACUCAUAAGAUUUAUUGAAAAUGAUAUUCUUCACAAUUGAUUCCUCUAAUAUGCUCAUGUAGUAGCAAUAUUGAGAGAAAAUUUGAGAAGUAUUUUGUACUUAUUGCAUGCUAAUUCUAAUCCAUUCCCAGAAGUGAAUGCGACUAAAUUUCAAUUUAUUAGUUAUGGUUGUUGCCAUGACUAUGAUUUUGGUAAAUAUGUAUUUUACCAUGACAAGAGAAAAAGUUACCACUUGAAGUGGGAUAAUAAUGAUAAGGACAAGAAAAUAAGGGUUCUAAAGACAAAUGUCCCGAAGUAUAUUUGACGAAUCAAAAGUAUAAUAAUAUUUUCACAUGGCAAAUUUCUUUAAACACCCCAAAGGUGUAUGAUGAUUGAUUUAAUUUAUGAUAAUUGAUUUAAUUAACUUUUCUUCCUGAAGAAGAAAUGGAUGUUAAAUAUUUGGGAUCAAAGGAUUAUGGUGAUGAUAUUUCUCCUAUAAGAAUUAUGGUGACAAUGAUAUGUGUCUCAUUAAUAAAUGCUACUAUAUACACUAUUUUCCAACAAAAGAGACAAACACAAUCAAUGGUAGUGCUUAAGUGAUUGAAAGAUCCAGAAGAGCCACUAAUAUAUUUCUUCCUGUAGGAGAAAAGUUUAUGAUAAAUGAAGCACUACUUUUUACCAUGUCUCGAAAAAUUUAUUGAAUUUGAAUAUACAUCGAAACGGAUAUCAAAUUGAGAUAUUAAAUGAGACAAUAAUAGAGAUCAUGUUUAGAAAUCAAGUGAGAUAAAGGUUGAUUAUAUCAUAAUAACCAUUCGAGAGAGAAAUAGCUAUCGAUAUAGUUGUCUUCAUUCUCAUUUGAUUUAUAAUCAUCACCUGCAGUAAACCAGAAGUUUACUGAUCCCAUCGGAUAUAUGAUUUGACAAAAGUGAAAACAUUUGAGAGCCGACAAAUAUUUAUACAUUCCCUCUAUUUAUAUUAUAUAUGGCUCUAAAAGAAAUUUAAAAUUUAUGUUGGGAAUGAAUCACCUUUCACGAUUAAAUAUCGUAAAAUAUUGAUGGGUGAUCUAUUGAAUGAUUUAUUUAUUCUGAUGAAUUAUGAUUCCUAAUAUUAGGGGGAGGAAAAAAUCAAUCGAAAGGAAAUCAUCUGAAAAAUUAGAUUUUCUCGAUUCUCAUACAAAAUAAUAUGAACUACAAAUUCAAGAAAUUCUUCAUUUGUAGAAAGUUAUAUUUAUCGACUCCAGAAGCGUCAUUAAAUCAACUAUUCCUGCAGGAAAUAUUAUGAUUAAAAUUAAUGUCCCUGAAGGACAUGCACAAGUGCUACAAAUAAAUUUAAGGCCGACUUACCUAAAUAAGGUAUAAAUUGAUUUCAAAUAUCUCCGAAAAUUAAAUAAAUGUCAUGACAAAAUUCAACCUCUUGAUGAGGUCGCUCCUGAAGAGCCAACUCCUGAAGAGAAUGAAAUCAUAGAAAAUUUAAUUGAAAUCUAAUGAAAUGUAGCACUUGAUAUUAUAGAAGUUGAUGAGGAUCAUAAAUCUAUAUCGGUUGAUGAAUGUCGGUAUAGAAAUGAUUGUUCAAAGUGGAAAGAUGUGAUUCAAUCUAAAUUGGAUUUAUUGAUUAAAAGAAAAGUUUUCGGACUUAUAGUCCAAACACCUAAAGGCGUAAAGGUAGUAGCUCAAGGAUUUUCACGAAAGCCUGAAUUUGAUUAUGAUGAAACGUAUUCACCUGUAGUGGAUGCUAUCACAUUUAGAUAUCUUGUGAGUUUUGCAGUACAUGAAAAAUUAGAUAUGCGUCUAAUGGACGUCGUUACUGCAUAUUUAUAUGAAAAUUUUGAAAAUAAUAUUUAUAUGAGAAUCCCCGAAGGAUUCAAUAUGGCUAAAGCAUGCAAAUCAAAUCUUAAAAAUACUUAUUCUAUUAAAUUACAAAGGUCUCUGUAUGGGUUCAAACAAUUUGGACACAUGUGGUAUAACCGCUUCAAUGAAUGUCUGACCAAAGAAGGUUAUACCAAUGAUCCAAUAUGUCCAUGUGUUUUUAUCAAGAAAAGUGGAUCAAAUUUUGUGAUAAUUGCUGUAUAUGUUGAUGAUCUAAAUUUGAUUGGAAUUCCUGAAGAGAUUCAAAAUAGUGUUGAAUAUAUUUGAAUAAAUAAUUUGAGAUCAACGAUUUUGGAAAAACAAAAUUCUGCAUUGAUUUACAAAUUAAGCAUUUGAAAAGUGAAAUUUUUGUCCACCAAACUACUUAUACCCGGAAGGUUAAAGCGGUUUUAUAUGGACAAGGCACAUAUAUUAAGUACUCCAAUGGUCGUCAGAUCAUUAGAUCCUAAAAAGAAUCCUUUUAGAUCGCAAGAGGAAGAUGAAGAGAUACUUGGUCCUGAAGUACCAUAUCUCAGUGCAAUUGGCGAAGAAUAUUGGAAUGCGACGAUUAAAAGAUCUCAAAUAAUGUUUGCAUCAGGGGGAGAAAUUAAUACACAAGAAUAGUGUAUUCUUUUUCCUUCACUAGGGUUUUUGUCCCGAUGAAUUUUUCCCUGGUAAAGUUUUAACGAGGCAUAUUCUUUGUGUAAUGGACAUCCAAGGGGGAGUGUUAUGAAAUAAUUAAAAGUAUGGAUGUCCGUUUGUAUUCCCAAGAGAAUUAAUCCAUGAUUUAUAGCUAUAUUAUAUAUAGCAGUUACAAUCCAUAAAUCUAUUCAUGUAGUGGAGAAACCGUUUCAUAAGUUUUUUCAUAUUCUUGUAAUAGUGGGUGUUUAAUAGGAUUAAUGUUGCUUUAAUCUUGUAGUACCUAUAUAUAGAGGUACAUUGACACCAUUUGGAAGGACUUUUGUAUUAGUUGGAAUACAAGAAUAUCACUCUCCAUUUCUCUAUUUCUUUCUCUAAUACUUCUUCAGUUCCUAUUGUAGUAUCUUCAUUUUAUUAGUUUUAUAACAUUAUUUUAUUUUUAAUUGAAGACUCCGACUUAAAUAUAUAAGAAGUAACAAAUUAUUUUAUAGACCCAAAGUUUCCAUUUGCCUGUGCAGUGUGCCCCAUUUGAAAGGCAGAGUCGAAAAAAGACAAACUUUUUGUCCAUGUAUCCGAGUCAAAUUUAUUCUUGAAGUGAGCCUUUUUUGGAUUGCUGUUUUUCAUCAAAAAAUUACAUCGUUUUUCGUAAUCAUAUUUUUCUAUUACCUUUUUCCCUCACAUACAUCAAAUCAUUAGUACCUUUUUCCCUCCCAUGUCCUAAGCGAAAAAUGAUCCCAGUCGGGAAGUACUCAAGAUCCUACAUUAACUAUCGAACAAAACAACUAGAUUUCCGAAUAUGAUCAAAUGACAUUUGGAUGGUGACCUUCUAAGACUUGGGAGACAACUGAAAUCAAGCAAUCAACGAUACUAACAAAAAAAAAAAGAAAAAGAAAGGAAGUAAAUAUGGAAGGACUUCAGGAGUUUCACUCAUGGUCAUAUAUGCCAAAUCAUAAUCCCAAGCCAUAAGAAAACAAUCAAAUCUAAAAACAUUUACAUGAACGCUCUCGUUUGGAUUGCUAUUUUGUGAAACUUUUUUUAUAGAAAAAUAUAUUGUAGUGAUUUAACGUAUGUAAAAUAAAAAAAAUGAUUAAAAAUGUGUUAACAGAAAUUGUAAAUAUUUUUUGAUAGCAAAUUACAACCCAAACACCAUGAUUUAAGCUACAAACAUCAACAAAUCAUUUGUUAAGACCCAGCUUGAAUUGUUAUUUUUAGGAGUUUUUAUAAAAAAAAAAUGUAUUGUAAUAAUUUAAUGUAUAUGAGGUAAAAGGGUGAUUGAAAAAUGAAUUUAAUGUAAAAUUAUUUUUUGUAAAAAAAUCAUAUGAGGUAAAGUGAAUUAAACAAAAGGUACUUCAGACUUUUUUUUUUUCAGGGGUACAAGUACAACGUCAAAGUGUUUUUUCUGUAAAUCAUUCAAAAAAUGGCUUUGUUUGGUGUAAUUUUGAAUAAGACUCGCACAAUCCAGUACCCCUCAUGUCUAAUUAUUUCCUUGUCAUCGAACAAUCAACUAAUGUCCUGCUGAUGCAUGCUCUGUUUUUACGGGUCGGAAUCUGACGUCCCACCUCCCUCAUUGACCGUUGAUCUACUUCUAAUUGGACGUCAUUAUUACUUAAUGAGUCAUCAUACUUUCUACUCAAACCGCCUCGCUCAUUGACUCACUCCACUCCCCACCCAUUUUCGGUCACAGCCAAAUUUCUGUUUAUCUUUAUCCUCCUUAAGUCAAUAUCCAUUUGGCCCCCUAAUAAGGUUUGAUAUUUUGCAAAUUUACCUUCACUAACGGUCUUGGUUAAUUUUUAGCAGCGUAAUAAUCUAACAUCAGUUUCUCACCAUACAGUUUCAGUGAUGGAAAAUUGUUUUUUGAAUGGAGCGAUGCAAUGUUGUUGUUUUUUUUUGGUAAAUAAAAAUGCAUUAAAAUAAAGUCAAGUCAACGGAGUGCAAAUUAAGGUACAGUCCUGACUUCGCGGGGUGGUAACCCCCUUUAAGUCUUGCAAAAGUAAGGGAAGUACAAAAUUGGGAUAUAAUUCAAAAAAAAUGAAAUCUUGAGUGUUGCUUCUUCCCCAGUUGGCAAGGAUGUCUGCACAUUUGUUUGCUUCUCUAUAAUUAUGGUGAAAACAUAUUUUCUGUUAAAUGUUAGUAAAUGUUAAAUGUUAGCAAGGAUGCAAUGUUGUUAAAUGUUAGUAUUGUUUUUAAGUUUGAAGUUCUCAAAAUUUAAAAGAUAUACACUAAGACAUAAAGGGAAAAAUAUGCAAUGAUUAAAACAUUGAGAAUUUCUGUAAUUUCAUUGAAUCAAUGAUCAUACAAAUCUAAGAUUUUUCCCCUAAUAGGAGGAAUGUGAGAUUUAAAAAGUGCAGAGGAGGAAGGGAGAUUUGAACCAAAACUUAUAAGUUUUAGGGUCUUAACCUUAAUUAUUACACAAAUUCAAGAUUGAACAAUAAGCCUUAUAAAGAAAGUGGUACUAACAAAAAGCCUCUAUUUCUUAUAUAUUUCUAAAAAAUGUUGUUAUUCUUGCUUUUUUAACAGCUUUUCUUGCCAAAAUGCUUUUAUAUAUUAUGAACUUUGAAUUCUGAUGAUGUAAUUUUUGUCAGACAGGCACUUUUUUAUCAAUGGAAAAAUUUAGUAUGGAAACUUAAGUUGGAAUAUCUAAAUCCCCUUAUUAUGAUAAGAAAAGUUCAAAAAAACAUGGAAAAUGGUGGUAAAUCGUUGUCCUUUUAGAGUAAUUUGAGUUACUCAAGACUCGAACAGUUAUUCAAGAUCAUCAAGAAGAAGGGGUAAAAUUGCAUAACACUUGGAAAGAAAGGGGCAAGUUGAAGAUUAAACAAACAGCCGGAAGGGUGGGGAAGGAAAAUUAACCCACAGAAGCCAAUCAUAAUCCCCGAAUUACCCCCAUCAAUUACAAUAGUGAAAGACCCCUAGAUUUGCUCCAGCUUUUGCUUCCAUGUCCGAAGAAUUUACAGCUAAUCUCUUCCGUCUCCGUCCCUCCCUUCUUCCCUUUUCCGCUCAUCCCAUUUCCGUUUCAAGCCCGAAAUUGUUAACCAGGAAAAAGGAAACAAUACUACCAAACUAAGCAACCCAUUCAAUUCUUUUGAAUUCAUUCUUUAACUCGAAGAUAUCUCCCACCCAACUCCCACCCCAUCCUUUUCCUUCAACCGCACUCACCAGUCUGUCCCCCUAUCAAACCCCCAACUUAUCACCACCUACUCAAACUUGAGCUCAAACUAACAAACCCAUUUCUCCGUUUCUUGUCUCUCUCUCUCUCUCUGUAGAAGGAAAAGGGAGGGAGGAACUUAACGGCAAACAAGAAAUGAAGUUAACGGCGUUGCAGCAGCAGAGUCGCCGGAGCAAUAGCUUCAGAGGAUCCUCGCCUUUAGAUUCGUCAAUGGAUGGGGCAAUCAAAUCUCCAGUUACGAUUUUCUGGCUGGUUCUUCAUGGUCUUUGCUGUUUAAUUAGUCUUGUUUUGGGCUUCAGAUUUUCUCGUUUAGUUUUCUUCCUUCUCUUUUCCAAUACUUCCAAUACCAUGACUAGUACUAAUUUGUACUCCACGUCCUCGUUCGGUAACCCGUCUGAACCCCUAGCUUUCCAGUCUACUUUAGGAGCUGUUACUUCUACUUCCACUUCGCUUCCGGCUAUGAAUUUCACGACGACGGCGGCUUCAGGGACGAGUAGUAGUCGGGUGGUGGUUGGGCGACACGGGAUAUUGAUUAGGCCGUGGCCGCAUCCGAAUCCGGCGGAGGUGAUGAUGGCGCACCGGUUAAUUGAGAGGGUGCAAAGGGAGCAGAGGAUGCAAUACGGGGUUAAGAACCCUAGGGCUGUGAUUGCUAUCACUCCAACUUACGUUCGGACUUUCCAGACGCUGCAUCUUACUGGAGUGAUGCAUUCCUUGAUGAACGUGCCCUAUGAUCUCGUCUGGAUCGUUGUCGAGGCCGGUGCGGUCACCAAUGAGACUGCUUCGCUGCUUGCUAAGUCUGGCCUUACAACUAUCCAUGUUGAAUACGGCAAGAAAAUGCCGAUUCUUUGGGAGGAUCGGCACAAAUUGGAGGCGAAGAUGCGCCUACAUGCUUUGAGGUAUACAGAGUUUUUGACGUUUGGUUUUGGUUUCGGUUUUUGUUGAAUUUUGUGUUAAAUGCAUACUAGUAUUGAAUUUGAUGCACUCUAAGUGUUUUUCACACUUAACAGAUUGGUGAGAGAGAAGAAACUAGAUGGAAUAGUGAUAUUUGCUGAUGAUAGUAAUAUGCAUAGUAUGGAACUUUUUGAUGAGAUCCAAAAUGUGAAUCAGUUUGGGGCUGUUUCUGUUGGAAUCCUUGCUCAUUCGGGUGGUGAUGGUGAGGAUGAAACGGCAGUGGCACAGAAGGAAGAGGAAAAAAAUUCAGGAUUGCCAGUUCAGGGUCCAGCUUGCAAUUCGUCGAAUCAUUUGGUGGGUUGGCAGACUUUCAAUUCGGCUACGUUUAUGGAGAGGAGUGCGAGGUAUGUUGGUGAUAGGGCAAUUGUGCUGCCCAGGAAGAUGGAGUGGGCUGGGUUUGUAUUGAAUUCUAGAUUAGUCUGGAGGGAUGCAGAAGAUAAGCCAGAAUGGGUGAGGGAUCUGGACGAGGUAGCUGCAGAUGAAGAAGAUGUUGAGAGUCCGCUGUCCUUUGUUAAGGAUGCUUCUGUGGUGGAGCCUCUUGGGAGUUGUGGGCGUAAAGUCAUGAUCUGGUGGCUUCGAGUUGAAGCACGGGCAGACAGCAAAUUCCCUGCCGGGUUAGUCUACAAUCGUCAUUUUUAUUAAAACACUUUCACAGACUAUUCUCUUACAUUAUUCAUGUGGUGUCCAUAUCUCUCAGCUUUGUGCUUAUAUUUGUUUGAUCGUCACUACGAAUUCAUUGUUGAUUGAGAGUUGUUUACUCAUUUCAUAAAGGUUGAAUCAGCUUAAGGAAUCUCCUGUGGUUAUUGUAUGAUUAUUAGUGCUGAGAAAUGAUGAGAUAGGAUACUGUGACAUCAUAUCCACAGUUUAUCUAGUAGCUCUCACAUGAACUGUGAAAACAGUGGUUGGUUCCUCAAGGACAAGGAGUUUUUAUUCCAAAUAGCGAUGAAAUGACUCCAAGUAAUUUAUGCCUUUUUCUGUUUAGUUGUCUCUUUUCUAAACAAAAGCAGAAGAGACAGAUAAAGAUAGUACCUGAACCAGCAGUUCUUUAAACUUAUCCUGAUGAGAGUCGAUGAAAAAAUAUUAAAUGAAACAGCUCUUGUUUUUCUUUUCGUGUAUUUGUUAUCCAUCCCUGUCUAGGAGCAUCAUGUAUGGAAUUGAUAAUAUUUAUUGCUGGUUUCCAAUAUAUUCAACUGGACAUUUCCUUUCUGAAAAUUUAUCUAGUAGCUCUCUCAAGAACUUGCAAACUUUUCUUUUACUACUCCCUGAUGUCAGCCUCAUACGCAGGCGCUCGCUCUCUCUCUCUCUUUCUCUCACAUGUGCGCACCUGGGCUUAUACUUAUGUUGAACCUGUCAUCUCCUUCUUCCUCCUUUCUCCAGCUGUUUGGGGCAAUUCUAGUUGCUAUUGAUUGCUUCAUUGGCCCAUCUUAGUUUCCUCAUUUCUCUUUCUGGAUAGCAUACCCCUCUCUUUCUGAAUAUUACAAUACUGUUAUUUUGAACUAUGUUCUAUUAAGACCCACUAAGCUCAUGCUAACCUCACCAUUCCAUCACCUUCAUGUCUAUUGGAUUCAUCAUCCUCUUUAUUUAUUUUUUUUAAUUUCUUUUAGGAUUCAUCAUCUUCAUGUCCAUUAUGUACUAAUUAUACUUCAAAUAAAUAAUGAUUGGUGCUGUCUGAUUAGUUUCCUCAGCUGAACUUACCAUAACGCUCAUUGAUCAGGUCUACAAAUAAAAACUGAUAACUGGCUGCAGUUUUAGUUGUCAAGCCACUCUUAUCUCAAAUGAAUAGAAAAACUUACAGCAAAGCUGUCUUAAGUACAGCUCUCCUGAGAGCACCAGUCUCCUUCCUAGUUUUGUUUUGUUUUUUUAUGGCCUAAAGGAUUGAUUUGCUUGUAUCGAGCUGAAGGAGAAGAAUGACUGCAAGCAUCCACCAAACUUUUACACAUAUAAAGCAGAACUUUGCAAGAAUAUUUUAAUAAAAAAAAUUCGUAUUUAAGAUCAUAUAAACGUUCUUAUAUUUUUCCUCUUCCUGAUUUGUAGGUGGUAGAACUCAGCUCACGUAUUUGUAGUACAUUUGGUACUUGUCUUUAAAUUAGAAAAGGGAUUUCAGAAAAGGUAAAUUUUUGAAUAUAGAGAAUAGGCCAAAUGCAAGAGGUUCACCAAACUGUGGAGUCGAAGGAGGGUUGUGCAUGUAAAAUCUAUGCCCUUGAAUACAAGAGUCCAUUCUCAGGUCAUUGCAUGGACAUCCUUACCAUCAUUUCUAGGCUUACUUCAUAAGAUUAGAACUUACAAAUCAUAGGGAGAGACAAAAUGAGUAAAUCAAAUAGAAAGAGGUUGAAGGUUUAGUUGGCAUACAUGUGGAAAACUGCAUCUAUUCCAAUGUAUUGUACACGUUUCUGAGAUUAAAGGAAAAAUUUGCUAUAACUUCUUAGGAGGCAGAAAAGUCGUCAUAUCUCAAACGGAACAUUUCUGGCUGAAUAUUGGCAUUUUGGUUAUCCUUCUGAUAACUUAUCUUGGAUUAAAAGAUUUCAUUCUUUUUGAAUGUCGUUGUAUAGUAGUUUAUUGUUUUCUGUUCCUUGGGACACUUGUUUAGCUUUUUAUUUUUAUUUUCCAUUCUCUUUUAUCUUAACAUUAUUUUUAGCAGUUAUACAUCCUAUAGGAGCACACUUUUUAAGUUAUGGUGUACAUAUGCUUAAUUUGUGGUCCUCUGGGGACUGUCUACUUAAGGAAGCAGGGGAAUGUAAAGAGAAGGAUUGGAAUCCUGGACCUAGCUAAUGACUUCUAUAGUUCUUUUGCUGUUUGGGAGGGAGAAGUAGAGAGAGAUGAACACACACCUUGGUUAUCUCACUAUUACAACAGAAAUUUCUUGCUUUGUUUGUGAGGUCAAUCCUUCCACUCUCUCCUCUGGUGGAAGUCUUUCUAACACGUUGGCAGGAGGGUUGGCCUUGCUCGUGAUAUGAGGCCUUUGUAGAAUCUUUUGUUUCUCAACCCUUCUAAUAAUGGAUCAUAAAGGCUUAUUCAUCUCUCACUCUAUCUCUUGCAUGCGCACGCACACACCAUCUUAGUAUUAAAAAUUUUCCUAGCUGCUGCUCCAGACUGUUUGAUAAUGAACAUGGGACCUAAUCUGUUUUUGAUUGCAUUGAACAUGUCUACUAGUUUAUGGAAUGGCCACUGAGUCACUUUCUCCAGGACACAUCCAUGAAGUCUGUUCAUAUCUUUCCAACAUAUUCUGACUAGUCCUGAUUUUUGGAUUCAGAUGGGUGAUUAACCCUCCCUUGGACGUUACGGUCCCAGCAAAACGCACACCGUGGCCAGAUGCUCCUCCUGAACUCCCACUCCCAGCGGGUGAAAAGGCGGUUGUUCUCCAAGAGAUUGCAGAGAAGCAAGCAACAAAAACCCACUCACCCCGAAAACGAAGAAGCAAACGGAAGCACGCAAUUAGAACCAUAGACGAGCGUGUUUCUACAAGGCAUGCUGGAGAGAACUAGGAUGUCUUAAUACCGGCCUUAAAAAUCUAAUAUACAUACCAUUGUGUGAAUUCUGCAGAGCAAAGAGGGCUCAAAGAUCAAAAGGUUGGAUACAGAGACGAUGUCUCAUGGAGUAAAUACAAGAUGGCAUCUGUCGCACUGCACUGUUUAUACAAACAUUUUCUUUUUCUAAUUUUGAGAUUCUUUUCAAUUUGCGAUUUCUUCCAAUUUCUUUUUUUUUUCCCUGGUGAUUAAUACCGUGAAUCUAGUGACGGUGAUAUGCCACCCUGUUCUGUUGCAUGGUUGGCAGAAAGCUUGUACUCAACGUUAUACUAGUUCUUAAGGAAUUCUUCGAAUAGAAGUUCUCAUAGAUUUUGUAUUAGUUUCCCCUUGGCAAAACCAGUUACGGUUUUUGCUUGUAAUGCUUUGAGACCAAUAGCAUGAUCUGUGAAUGAACUCAGAGCCACCUGACCUGGUCAGCCAUCAAAGAAAUUAUUUAAGUCUCCAUCUUCAUCUUUUUCCCCAUAUAUGCUAGAGUGACAUGUCCCCGGAAAAAAAAUGGAAAGUCUUAAGAGUUAGCAGUCCCACGGAGGUAUGCACUUCGGCCUUCUUGAUUCAGAUCGUAGUCAUCUGCCACUGGUUGAUGAUGAACUAUUCUCCAGAUUCAAAAUUUUUCCGUUCCACUGCUGAAGUAGCCAUGUGAAAAUAAAACAAACCUUAGUGUCUAACUGCAACAAUUGAUCAAUUUGCUCAAGAUCCCCUUUUUGCUCUUAGCAUUUGGCCGUUGUUUCCAGUGAUAACAUAAUUGAAUUACUCUUGCCACAACAAAUUUUGUUGCACUACUAGCAUCAGUCCGGGUAUGUAUGCAUGUCGCAUGCAAAUUAAAUUUGAAUCUCUUGGAUUGAUUAUGGAGGUAAACCUAAUGCAUUUUUACAAUUUAAAAGCCAGUUCAACCCCUCCAUCCCCCUCCCCCGGGGAAAAAAAACGUUUAUGAUGGUGUCACAAUUCGAGAUUCUCUUGCUGUAUUUAUAAGAUAAUUGUGUGAAGAAUCUGUCAAGAGCAUGAUCCGAAUAAAAGCAAUUGAACUAACCUGCAAUGUGGCGAACAUUGAGACUAUCUCCUCGUUGUAACUCCGACAUUCAAGUCAGUUUGAGAAUAAUGGAAUUGUAACUCCGACGCUCAAGUUUGCUUGAGAAUAAUGGAAUAGACCUCAAGUUAGCUUGAAAAUAAUAGAAAAGAGGAGAGUGAAUGUAUUGUAUUUUUUGUAUCUCUUUCUAAUCUGUCCGUCCACUAUUUAUAAAGCCUCCCCUGAAUAAUCAUGGGGGAGUCCAAAGUUAUCCGUUUACUCUUAGUAGUUAUCUCAUCUACGAGUAUAAGUCCUAUUAGGUUAUUAGAAGUAGAGUCCUUUUUUGAAUUAUGACUUUAGUCUUAUCCCGAAAACUUGACCGUUUCCAACUACGACAGCCAGCUCCGCUUAGUUCGGGCUUGGAGUGGAGUCCGAACAAAGCUUCUGACACGUGUUCACAGAGGAUUUCUCCCUCUACAUUGUGCUUAAUUAAAUAACCACAUAAUGCAAUAUCAGUAAAAUUUGUGCUAAAAAUGGGCGACCGAUUCAAAUGAAACCAGGUAAAGUCUCGGCGGCCAUCAAAAAAAAAAAAAAGAAAAAGAAAAUCAGUGCUGCCUGCAGGUGACCUGCAACGCAGGUAACAUGGCACUAACAUCUAGAGAUCAAUCAAGCCACUUCCCAAGAAAUCUUUGGCAGCUGGCCCUGUUGCAUGUUGUUGUUUAUUAAUCCAAGUAAUGGCCAUACGUUAAUUAGUAAUAAAGAAAGGCUCCUCGUACAAGUUGAUUCAGUUGACAAUGAUGAGUCACUUUUUAACAAAAAAAAUCCCCAUAACACACCCUGAUCCGUCAAGAUGGUGAUCAUGGCCAAACCCAUUAAAACAUGGUGACAUAUGAUUCGUUAAGAUGUACCCACUCGCGUCCCAUGCAGUUAAGACUAAUCAAUAAUUCAAGAAGGUUGGUAAUGGUUUUCUCACCAAAGGAUAAAUGAAAAGAAAAAGAGUACAUGAUCUUGGACGGAAAGCAUUUUUAAUGGCUUUCUCACCAAAGGAUUGAUGCAGCAUAUGUUUAUUCUUCUUUCCCUUUCAAUUUAUGAUAAUUACCAGAAAUAAAGAAAGUCGAUUCCAAACAAAAAAAAAAUUGUAUGGAUAAAGUUGAUUUUGGCCCACUGAUGCUUGAUGGAUGCACCGGUAGGUUUUGAAUUAGUACGGAAUCAGUGGGCAUAAGGUGUUCCGAGAGUGAAAUGACGAAGGACAAAUGGCCCAUUGGACGUAUGAGAGAAAUUAGCAUUAACUGGCCUUGCUUGUGUUGUUAAACAGGAAGCUGCUGGGCCUUCUCGAGUCGACCAUAGCUGCAGUGGAACAAGAACCUAUAACCUCUGCUGCAAUGGAGCAUUAGGGACCAUGCCUUCGAUUUCUUUAUCGCCAAUGGUGAAGAUGACUACCCAUACGAGGGACUUAACGGGAUUUGUGACCCCUCUCGUGUUCGUAACGUUUCAUUUACCCCCCCCCCCCCGGCCCCCUUUUGUUCAUUUAUGCAUCUUUGAAAUUUAAAACACAUUUUUCUUUUGUGCUUAAUAUAUCAUUGUUAUAUGUCGAAUUGUUGCAGAAGAAUGCCAGAGUUGUACGCAUAGAUGGGUAUGAAGAUGUACCACCUUACAGUGAGAAAGCGCUGCAAAAGGCAAUGGCACACCAACCUGUUAGUGUUGCAAUUGAAGCUUCUGGCAGAGCAUUCCAACUUUACGUGUCAGUUAGCAGCUACACCCUUCCUUUUGUUGCGGUAGAAAUGAGGUAUAUAUGUAGUAAAAUGAAUGAAGGGUUUAUGAAUCUUCUUGCUAAACAUUUUUGGUGGAGCAAAUAUUUGAUCUAUCGAAUAAUCAAAUGGGAUACUAACUGAAUUUAUGUCGUCAAUCAGUGUAAAAGUAUUUGUUGCCAAAAGUUGGAUGAGCAUUCAGGUGUACUGAUCUCUCACUGCAUCUAACUCUAACUUGGUAAAAUUUUCACAGGGCAUAUUUACUGGCGCAUGCAUUAAACCAUUGGUCGGGUACGGGUCAGAAAAUGGUAAGGAUCAUUGCGUGGUGAGGAACUCAUGUGGGGAGAAAGACGGAUACUUUAGGCUGGUGCGCAAUGUGAUUGAUUGGGAGCUACACGAGCAAGUGUGGAAUUACAAUGCAGUUUCCAUACCCGACUAAAGAUGGUGGAAAUGCAAGCAAGUCGAGAAGAGAAUAUGGAACAAAAUGCCGAAGGGGGGAAGAAGCAGCAUUCAAUCAUCUUCUUUUUACUGCUCUCACCCAACUGAAGAAACAAAAAAGCACAAGCUGCAAGCCUGCAAAUAUCGUCUGUCCAGCCAGCGUCUUGAAAUGCCUUGUUGGAUUACCAACAUUAAUUUCUAUCACCCUUUUCUAUCUUGGUUUAUAUCUAGCUAGAUAAUGAGGAAAGGUUUGUGAGGGAUAUUGAUUUGGACAAUGAGCGUGUGAACUGAACUGGGAAGCAACCUGACGUUAGCGUGUUAGCUUCGCAUUGCUUUGAGCGGACGCUUAAAGCUAUCUCCCUUCUUGCUUGUGUUACUCCCCAUUAGUUACUCAAACGCGGCGAUGGCGAUCAACAAUUCAACUUCAUUUCAAAUCAUGAAACAAUUUUUGACAAUCUUAAUACUAGAGCUUUUUUGGUUCUCUCUUUAUUCUAUUCUUUCAGCGGAGGUAUGAGCUUUUUAAACUCCUUAUUUCUGAGAAGCAACUGGAAGAUGUUUUAAAUCGCGGUGGCGCAGUAACUAAUUAAGAAGAAUGCAUCCAAUUUGCUUGUGGGGCUUUCAUGCUUUAGUUGUAGGGAUGAAGCGUGCACGACUAGCUUCUACAGCUUCAACAAUUAGACUGAAUUAGUAGGUAGGGUGGACCACCGUGCAUAUAUUUUCCAUGUCCAGCUGGUGUCAUGUCACCUCAUAUUUUGCUCUCUCCAGCAGACAUGAAUUAACAGCAAAUAUUUUGCACUUUCAACCCACCUCAAUUCAUUCCCCAUGUUUAAUUUUCACUGAAAAAAGAAAAUUAGGUAGGGCUAAAAUACACACAGAAUAAUAGUCCAGAAUACGAUGGAUGAUUCACAUGCUGUGUCGUCUCUGAUUAUUCACUUAUUAUUUUCUUCAAUGCUGUGACCUAUCUACGGCCUUGGUGUUAAAUGCAUCUUCUUCUCCUUCCUAUAUUUUGUCUAAUUCUUGACAAUGGCGGUAAAGACAUUUGCACUAAGAUUUUAGCAAUGCAAUACACUAAUAAAGACACUAGUGUGUUUUUUUCAAUUAAGAUAUAAGUGGGAGGACUUGAAUCCAAAAUUUCUUACUUAUACUCCUCCUUCUUCUUGAACCAUCCAACUCAUCUCUCUCGAGUAAAAGCAUUAGAUUAAGUAAAAAUUGAUACAGUAUUAGAAUAUAUAUGUAUAUACCACAGAAAGUCACAUAACCAUCUCAUACUAUAAUAUAUAUAUAUAUAUAUAUAUAUAUAUCACAGAAAGUCACAUAACCAUCCCAUAUUAUAUCCAGAUUAUAUGCCAUGCGUUGAAGGUUGAAUUCCUUGUUAGGUUAAAUAUUAUUGCCUUGCUUCUUUUUACCCAUAUGCUGUAAUACACAGUACUACAAAACAAGUUGUCCUGUACAUUUCAUCAUGAUAGAAGUCAUAGAACACCGAAAAGCAAAAGGAAGGGGAGUUUUAUUACAAAUGACUGGCGUGAAAGUUGGAGUUGGAUUGGCUCAACUUCAACGUCAAAGAAUUAUUAGAAGUCACCAACUUUUUCAUUGUUCCAUGGCCAGCAUGCUGAUUUUAGAGAUUCCUCCAAGAAAGCGUACCGACUUUUUUGAUAAAGCUUUUAAUGGUUAACGGAGAACAAUCUACUUGACGAAAACCUGGAGAAAUAUCACAUACCUUUUCCUUUUCUCUCUCCGACAAUGGUGGCUGUGUUCAACAAAGAGCUCUUGAGUUGGUACCUCAUCACCCUCAAACUCAACGAAACUGUUGAAGCUGGACUUCAAAAGGUUCAAAACCCUACAACUGCAACUCGGUCAAUUGAACUCUCACAAGAAGUACAAGCCCAGCGGCCGCUGCAGGUGCAGAAAGAACGGCAUCAACCCUUGGAUUCAUUGCAGGUUGCGGUCAAAGAUGGAACUAGUAAUGUUGAAGAGGGUCCCAAAUCACCAGAACCAGAGUGGGUGAUCAGCAUCAGAGAAAAACUUGAUCAUGCUAACCAAGAUGAUGACGCAGUUACAUGGUCAAAGCUCUGCAUCUACAGAGUGCCUCAAUACCUGCGAGAAGGCGAUGAUAAAGCUUAUCUGCCCCAGAUUGUCUCCUUGGGACCUUAUCAUCAUAACAAAAAGAGACUUCGCAAUAUGGAUCCUCACAAAUGGCGUGCUGUUUACCAUAUUCUGAAACGGACUAAUCAAGAUAUAAAGCUGUAUCUUGAUGCUAUCAAAGAACUUGAAGAAAGAGCUCGUGCUUGUUAUGAAGGACCAAUUUGCCUCAGAAGCAAUGAGUUCGUGGAGAUGAUGGUUCUUGAUUGUUGUUUUAUUCUGGAGCUCUUUCGUGGCGCUGCUGAAGGAUUCAAUCAGCUUGGUUACUCUAGAAAUGAUCCGAUAUUUGCAAUGCGAGGCUCAAUGCAUUCCAUUCAACGGGAUAUGAUAAUGCUGGAGAACCAAAUUCCUCUAUUCGUACUUGAUCGGCUAUUUGGUCUUCAGAUGGGUCAGCCGGACCUGAAAGGAAUAGUGGCUAAGCUAGCUUUGAGAUUCUUCGAUCCAUUGACCCCGACGGACGAACCAUUGACAAAUAGUGACAGGACCAAAUUGGAAUCAUCGUUGGGACACACUUCCGCUUUUGAUCCACUGGCGGAACUAGGAGGUCUUCACUCCCUUGAUGUCUUCCGAAGGAGUCUUCUUCGAAUAGGGCCUCAACCAACACCCAGGAUUUGGGUAAAAAGGUGGUCGCAUUCCAACCGUGUAGCAGACAAGCGAAGACAGCAGCUACUCCAUUGUGUCACGGAGCUAAGAGAGGCUGGGAUUAAUUUCAAGAAAAGGAAGACUGACAGAUUCUGGGAUGUGAAAUUCAAGAAUGGAGUUCUCAAGAUUCCUCGGCUCCUAAUCCACGAUGGCACAAAAUCCCUCUUUCUCAACCUUAUCGCUUUUGAGCAAUGUCAUCUUGACAGCACCAAUUACAUAACCUCAUAUGUGGUCUUCAUGGAUAACUUGAUCAAUUCCCCAGAAGAUGUAAGCGUCCUACAUUAUUAUGGGAUAAUCGAGCACUGGCUUGGCAGUGAUGCUGAAGUUGCUGAUCUUUUCAAUCGUCUUUGCCAAGAGGUGGUUUUUGACAUAAACGACAGUUAUCUUUCUCCAUUGUCUCAGCAAGUAAACCGCUAUUGUGAGCACAGGUGGAACACCUGGCGAGCAACUCUAAGUCAUAAGUAUUUCAAUAAUCCGUGGGCAAUUAUCUCCUUCGUUGCUGCUGUGGUCUUGUUGCUGCUAACUCUUGCGCAGACGUUCUAUGGGAUUUAUGGCUACUAUGAACCGCAUUCUUAAGCCUGCUAUACAAUGGUCUGUUUAUAUUCAUAAUCAACAAGAGAGAAUUGCUUGAACGCAUUACAUAUCUAUCAAGAAACAGUGAAUUGUUGGAUUUUAAGGUAGGAAAUGAGUGAGCGAGCAUUCUCUGCAAUCUAAUGGAAUUUGCGAGUCAUUCUACUAUCUAUGAAAGGAGCUUCGUUAUUACAUUCAAGUUCAACAAUCACUCGCAUCCUUGAUUUCGCCUAAUUCAGGCUCACAUUUAUCAGACAUAAAUUGCAAGCAGAAAGCAUCAAGCACCACAGAAUACUUGUCUUCGUCGUCUGUAGUUUAAUGUCAAGAAAGCAUCAGGCACCACAGAAUACUUGCCUUCGUCCUCCUCAGUUUUAUGUGAAUGCUAGGAGAAUCUAUUACAUAGGCAGGCAUUGAAUCUGAAGCAGGGAAGGAGGAUUUUGGGUAGCAUCAGGAAACCCUAUUCACUCUGGCACCGUUGCUUGUUCAUGGACAAGCACACGAUGGUGGAAAACGACACCUGAACCAUACAGUCUUCCAAGACUUCAACCGUCAAUUAGGUUGAAAGCUACUCUUGUAUGUUAGUAUGUCCUGAAGAUAACUAAUGAAGUGCAGUAGGCAAGAGUAACAAGUUCAAAGUGAAGAUUAAUCCUGUUCUUUUGAAAAUUAAGCAACUUACAUUCUAGCUAUGCCAUUGUAGCGUCACUAGGAACAACCAAAGGAGAAUAAUCCAAUUGGAUUGCCAACAGCAAGACCAGGUGUCCUCAAACUCAUACAAGAAAACAUUUUACUAACAUUCCAAACGGCAAAUCUGUGUAAUCAAAAGCAAAGUUUGCUCAUUUACAAUCUGCUUCACGCUCCAAGCAGAUUAGCAACAAAAAGCAUUGUACGGUUGUGCAAAUGAACAGAAUUUGCAAUUACAUUUCAAUAUGUCACCAAAAGAAGCAUCACCGUCAGACGUAUAAGCAAGUAGUCAAACCAAUAUUUCACUUGUCGAGUAGGUGCUGGUAAGCGCGCCAAACCUCAAAUAUCCGCCGCGAAAACAACCAGGGACGACUGGCCUUCUCGCAAGAGACGGCGGCAGCUGCUGUUCCGGCGUCCACGGGAAUUGGGAGGUCUUUUACUGUUGGAUGCUUGCUUCAGGACUUCAAAGUUCAAAGUGCACUUCGGCUUAUUUCGGUGGGGCGCGUUGGAGCGGAAAGUCUUGACUGGGAUGUGGGUGGGUCAAAUUCCGUACACUGUUUUUGUUGUCUGGGCCUCCAGUUUGGGUUUCUUGUGAACAUACGUUACUUAGGUCCAUUUAACUUCUUGCACGAAAAUACUGGAUGGGCUGUAGCUGGGCCUUUCUAAAUUUUAGUUCAUAUGCGUGGAUAUAGAUUAGGGAUCCAUUCGAAGUUAGUUUUGAACCACAAGGUUUGUCACGUUUGUAAUUUUACGUAAUUCUCAGGACAUAAUAACCUACUGAUUGUACAAUUUAGAUUCUGUUUACCGUCAUUACUCCCUACCGUUCUCCGCAAAAUGAAUUUGAGGUGCAUUGACCUCUCUGCCCUUUCUUCUGUAUGAAUUUUAAAACAUGUCAUGAAUCAGUGAUUUCCCAAGCAAAUAUAUAGAACAAUUAGUUGGUUUUGUCAACUCUUUGCGCAGGGAUGCUCAUGGUCUUUUUCGUAAUUUGAAUUUCUUUAUUAAUCGUAAUUUGAAUUUCUUUAUUAAUGAGUCAUGUAAUCAGGGUUUAUGACGAGAAAGUUAAUAUUGAUUUUAAAAUAAUUUUUUGGGUUAGAUGGUUAUUUAUUAAGCUGGUAGUUUUAUUUGUUUCUUUUUUUUUUUUUUGGUUUGGUAGUAUAGUCAAGAAAGCAGAUUGGAUACUAUUGCUCAUUAUUAACAUAUUACUCACAGUUUGAAAUAUGUCUGUUGAUUGAAAACCAGGAUUAAGAAAGUAGAUUGGCACCAUAGGCACAGGUGGAUAGAUUGUUAAGGACAGCUUGGUCAUUGAAUGUCUUGGCAGCCAUUAUUUAUUUUUGUUUGUUUUUUCUUGAUAGGAAUUUAUCCAUAUCCCCGUUAGUGUAUUAGUAUAUACAUUUUCAGUAUACGUGAGAUUAAUUAAUCUUGCUAUGUAUAUAUAAUGUAUGUUAUGUUUAGCUGUUGGUUGAGUGACCAAAUCUUUGGUAAAAAAAAUAAUAAUAAAAGGAGGAAGAAUAAAAUGACCAAUUGUACCCCGUUUGGAUUGUAUUUUUUUAAAUUUUUUAUUAAAAAUUUAUUAUAAUGAUUUGAUAUAUAUAAAAUAAAAAGAUGAUAGAACAGUAAUUAUUCUAAGAAAAAUUGCAAUCCAAACGGCCCCCUUAUCCAAAGUUUGAGCCAGAUCACCGGGGCCCUGGAUUGCUAUGCAUUAACCAGCAAGGCAGCAAACGUUCCACUGCUAUAUGAUAGUGCCAGUAGAAAUUGCGAAUUGUGGCUGAGUUGGCAACUACUAGUGUUAGUAUGGUAAAGCCUACUGCACCGAAUCGUAGCUCCAAAAAUAACAAUUAACCUUUGCUGCUCCACCACCUCCAUCGCGGCCUCACCUCCAUUUUAAUUCCGACCUCACUAUUCUGCAAGCGUCAAGAGCGCCGGAGCUGAUACCUCUACACCUAAAGAAGAAGAAAAGAAAAAGUUAAAAAACUAUAAUCCUAAAAGGCUAGAAAGAAGAAGAAGGAGAGAUACAGUCUUAAGCAUCGCAGCAUUGUUCGAGAAUAAACGGAGGAUUUCUGGAUCUUCAUUAGCUCUGUGAGUAGGCCCCCGCAUUCUGAUCCACAUUUAAUUGCUUCGCAUUUCGCGAUUUCUAUGUCAAAUUAUACUUGCUUACCUAGAUCUUGAUGACUUCUAUGAGACGUAAUAGACUCUUCACGUCGCACACGUAGAACUAAUUGUCCGUGAAUUUGUUUGCUUAUUUUAUUCUUAUUAUUUCUUGCAUUUGGUACGCGAUUGAUUGUAUUUCUCGUCGUUCAUCUACUGAAAUUGAAAAUGACGAAUUAGAGGUCGAGAUGGAAAUCCACGCAUUUUAUUAGUUGUUAUUUUGAAAAAAAAAAUUUGUUGGAUUGAAUGAAGCAAUUAUAAAUGCAUUUACAUUUUCGUAUCUCGUUUUUAAUUCUUUUUAACCGAGUAGCAUGCUAUGCUAAUAAAUAUAUAUAAAUAGUAGCUUUUUUCGAAGCUGUUUUAUCGCUUGUGAUCUCUAGUAUUGCUGGUUUUCCCUUUUCAGUAUUUUGCAUCAUAUCUACGCGUAAGGCUGCACAAUGUGACAGUGUUUGUAUCAUUGAUUUUCUUUUCUUUUCUUUUCUUUUUUUUUUUGGGUACUAAAAGCUAUUUUAUUUGAAUAAGUGAAACGCAUGGUAGAUUCCUCACAGACAAGCCACAAAAUGUGUAUAUUUGCAGACUGACAUUGCCAUACCGCCUAUGCAUUAACUAUACGAGCGAUGUGGAGAGAUAUGAUUUAGAUAACUGAAAGAGCACGCUUUAGUAUUUUUCAAUUUGUUUCCAUGCCAACUGAAUGGAAGAGAGUAGCAUUGGGUGUUUUUAGGUGUGGAAUGAAGGGACAUGUGAAGAGGAUGUCGAUAUGAUCUUUUAUUUUUGUGUCUUAUCUAAACUUGUUAUCUUUUUUUUUUUUUUCCUUUUUGCAGAAUGGAUACUAAUUCUGGUGAUUCAGCAAAUCCUCAUUCUAGUGAGGGUUCAGAUGUCGAACCUCGUGUAGUGACUGCUACUGCAGUAGACAGUUCCCCACGUGGCUCAUCUUCUAUGCUGUCGACAUCUGCCAUAUCUUCUUGGGCCAAAGGUCUGAAACUUCCACAACCCUUAGCACCGGCAACACCAAACUCACAGGCCGGAAAUGCUCCCAAGUCUGCAUUUUCACGUCUAGCCAGUGGAUUUGGACUGAAUUUGCCUUUGAAACCAAAUGAUAGUUCUGGAGACAGCUCAGCUGCUGCACAAUCAGGUGUUUUUGAGUCGCUCACUAAAGGAAUAGUUGAUUCAUCUUUCAGUGCAGUUAAGGCUGUUCAAGUUAAGGCACGUCACAUUGUCUCGCAGAACAAGCGAAGAUACCAGGUCGAUCAAGUUCUUAUUUCUUUGCUGGAAUUGUAUGACUAGUCUUUGCUCUCUGCGAUUGAACAUUAACAAACUUUUGCCACUAUUUCCAAAAUCUGGAUGAGUAAGUGUGUAUAAACCUUUUUUUUGGACAUAAGACGUUUAUGCAAUUGAAAUUGAUAUGAUGGCUACAGAAUGAAAUAUUGCUCAUGUACCUUGUCAACUUGGUUUUCAAACUCUCGAUGAAUUAUGAAGUUUAUUGCAGUCAAAUUUCUCCAAUUGCUUAAUAUGCCACCCACUUAUGUUCUUAUAUUCAUUUAUGAGAAGCAAGGACCUUUUGUAACACACUCAUAUAUCUAGACAAGUAACUCUGGUAUUCUUUCAAUGCCUUAUUUCAGGAAGGAGGAUUUGAUUUAGAUAUGACUUAUAUAACUGAGAACAUCAUUGCAAUGGGUUUUCCAGCUGGUGAUAUGAGUUCUGGAUUUUUUGGCUUUGUUGAGGUAAAAAAAAAAAACACAAUUUGCAUAUGAAAUGUUCCCAAACACAUCUCAGUUUUACUAAUUAUAUUUGUUGGAAAUAUGAUGCAGGGUUUGUAUCGGAAUCACAUGGAAGAAGUGAUCAAAUUUUUUGAAACUCAUCACAAGGUAACUUUUGAAUUCAAAUUGGUGACUACUAGUUAUAUACAAUUUGCUGCCAAAAAUGUCUGUACAGAAUAUGUAUUCAAAAUCUUUAUACCUUUUCUACCAUGAAAUAUCUGAUUGGACCAUUUAGUUACUGUACUUUCCUAUUAAGGUACCAUCAUCACCUCAAAAAGUUAAUCAAUUUCCUAAAACAAGUAAAUUUAUAUAUUAUUGCCACUCUUUUCUUUCAAAAUUAAUUUUUAGUUUUUAAGCUAAAUUAGACAUGACGUGCGUAAAAAGUAAAAACAUAUCUGGAGAACAAUGCUUUGUUUGUUGAUUGGAUUACCUGAAUUAGCAAUGGUUUAAAUAAGAUAUGCAUGUUAUCCCUAAGACCCAGCUCAGCUUGUAGGAACAUUAGCUAGGUGGCGAUGAGGACCCUGAUUCAACUAUCAUUUUCUCCCCUUUCCAUUUUCCCCUUGUAAGGCUUGGCCUCGCCCUUGAACUCAAAACAAAAAUAUAAGAUACACACAUUGGUAAUGUAGUUACCUUGAUCAGGACUGUUGCUUUUAACAGCACGUGGGCCUCAUAUUAAUUCACUAACUUUUACUUCAAUCCCCAUGAUAUGUGCUCAAGGCAUGCGACUAAAAUGGAUGGUGUACUACUAUUGAACACUUGAAACUGCCUUAUCUCACUGUAUCUGCUCCUUGUUCGCUAGCUUUAGAUAACUUUUCUACUCUUCGUUUUACUUGCUGCUUUUGCAAUUUGAUAUGCCUUAUAUAUUUCUUUGGAUUUCAGGGGAAGUACAAAGUAUACAAUCUUUGUUCAGAGAGGUUAUACGAUGCGUCACUGUUCCAGGGAAAGGUGUUGUUUUCUUCUGCAAUAAAAUCUGUUUUUCAAUUUCAUUCCUGCAAUUCAAGAGUCUAAACCAAGUGUAGCUUGACUGUCAUUUGUGAUCUCCAAUUUAUGCUCUAUAAAUUUCUGGAGUGAAAAGAAUAUGAACAAAGGAAUGAGGGUAGUUUUGAUUUGCUUUUUGAUCAUUCAGUCAGAAAAUGCUGAGUUACUUAAUAUGUCUUUUUAAUGAUUCAUUUUGAAAUCUCGUAGGAAGAUGCUGCCAGUGGAAAAAAAAAAUUCAAGAGCAAUGCUCUGAUAGGAUGAAGGAGGGGGCAAAGGAAAAAGAUUUUUGAAAACUAGGAAAGAACUCUUAUUUCAGGGAAGAAAAUGGUUUAAAGAAAGUGCAACAAAUACAAUCCUAGUCAUACGCAACAAUUAAUUAAUAAAUAUAGCAAAUUUUCGCUCACCCAGAGAGGAAGUGACCAUUGGUGAAAGCAUGAAAGCAGGCUGGAACAGUGUAGUUUUUCCUCUUACAUAAGCCUUUUUUUUCCUUUUUCCUUUUUCCUUUUUUUUGAAGUAUUCCUCUUACAUAACUUAUAUCACUAAUGAGAAUGAUAGUUUAAUGUGUUUGAUACGCUUAAUUCUUGUCCAGGUUGCCAGUUUCCCAUUUGAUGACCAUAAUUGCCCUCCUAUUCAUCUUAUUAAGUUGUUCUGUCAAAGUGCUUAUUCAUGGUUGAAGGAGGACAUCCUGAAUGUGGUGGUUGUCCAUUGUAAAGCUGGUAUGGCAAGGACAGGAUUGAUGAUCUGUAGUCUUCUUCUGUUCUUAAAGGUAAAAUAUGUUUCAGAGAAAAUGCUGUUUUUGAUGGGAAAAGCUGAAACAUGUAUUUGUCCCACACUUCUCGUCUUUUGCAGUUUUUCCCCACAGCUGAGGAGUGCAUUGAUUACUAUAACCAGAAAAGAUGUGUAGAUGGGAAGGGUCUCAUUCUCCCUGGCCAGAUUGUUAGUCAAAAAUUUGCACGAACUCAUUUUCUGAAUAAAAGUCUUAUUUAUAUAUGUGAUCUAACAAAUUUUCAUUUUUUGCUUUUCCAUAGAGGUAUGUGAAGUACUUUGAGCGCAUUUUAACGCACUUCAAUGGUGAAACUCCGCCUGGACGUAGGUACUCUUCAGAUUAGUUACUUGAAAAAUACAAAGUAUUGAGCCAUCAAGGUACUGAAAAGCUACUAUAUUGCAGGUGCAUGCUGAGGGGAUUUCGACUCCACAAGUGUCCUUAUUGGAUCAGACCUGCCAUUACCAUAUCUAAUCAUAGUGGUAAGUACCGGGUUGAGCCUCAUGCUAACUUUGCCACAGUGAGAAGCAGUAUUUUGUUACUGUUCUGGUGAUUCGUUAAUUUAUUCGGUUUGAGAAGUCACCUACAUUUGGUUGACGUUGCUUUAUUUAUUCAUUUAAUUAGUGUCUGUACAAUUACCAUAUAUGCCAGGCGAUGUACUUCAGUUUUGUCUCUCAAAAGUAGCAUCUCUCAUGUGAUAAAUUUUAGUUUGGGGAAUAUCAUCAUCCAAAACCAAAUAUGGUUUAAUGCAAACCAAUGAAAUUAUUAUCAUUGGCUUUUUUAAUAUCUUGUCUGAAGUUGGGAGUCAAAGGAGUAAUUACAUGUUACCAUUGCAUUUGUGGCAAGUCCCUGUCAGUCAUGCAAACCAGGAAAAGGGCUUUUCACCCAAUAGCUUGAACAUGACUAUUAACAUCUGAUUUCAAUACGGAGCUUGAUUUAGAGUUAUUUCAUCUUUGAGUGAGAGAGAGGGAUUGGUCUUUACAAUUGCUGCACAUGUGAGCGAGAGGGAUGGGUCUUUCUCUAAACUUCCAAGAUAAAUAAAAAAUUAUACAUGUCACUAGUAGUAUUAGGGUCUGCUUCGUGUGAGAUAUUCACUUUCAUGCAGCCAGAGGCAACCAGCACUUCUUGCUUACUUUUGAAGAUCAAUGAGAGUCCUAUGGAAAAUAGCAGUUGAAUUUCUAGAAGAUUAUUAUGUCAGUAGCAAUCUCUUAUAUGUGAAGUAUAAAGAACAAAAAGGUUCAGAAAGUUUUAGACCUUGCUAGCUGCAAGAAUAGAAACUUUCUUUAUGAGCAAAAUGUGAUGUCUGGCUCUUUAAGCUAUCCUUUUUUUAAUUUUAAACCAGUUUUGCUGAACUGACGAAAGUAUUUACAUGUCUGCAGGAGUUUUAUUUUCCACUAAAAAGCAUCCGAAAACAAAGGACCUAAUGGUAUUCUAUAUCAUCUGUCACUUCAUUACUGCCUCAUUUUUACAAGUAAAUGUAUUUGAUUGGCUGUGCUGACUACUCGAGAGUUAUUCUCUUUUUCAUUAAUUGAGUUUAAUUUAUGAUCUGUUUGAAAAUUUUGUAUGGGGCUACAAAACCAUUUAAUUUUUUGCAUUUCUUCUUGCAGCCAGAAGACUUCUGGUUGCGUGCAGCAAAAAAGGGAAUUGUGGUCUUUGCUCUACCAGGGGAGCCAGGUUUAACAGAAUUGGUGGGGGAUUUCAAAAUCCACUUUCAGGAUCGCCAAGGAGACUUCUAUUGGUGUGUAAACUGUCUUGGUAUCUGCUUCUUUUUAGUGCAUGUCCAAUUGCAGUAGCAUCCCAUCACGCUUGUUGAUUUUUCUCUGAAAUAUGUUGCCUAAAUAUGUAUGCAUUUGCUCAUGAUCCAGUAGCAUCUGAUUGCGCAUGCAGCAUGACCAUCAUAGAAAUAUUAUCUGUGGUAUUUUUAAUUAAUUUCCUAGAGGAGAGCAAGAGGAGUUUCAAGGUGCGCAUCCUUUAAAACAUUGUGAAGUGUUUGAUAAAUUCUUAGUCUUCAUGAGCUUUGAUUAAAUUUGAAGCAUACAUUAAGACUCUUGACAAAUUUAUAUUUUCUUUAGUUUCAUAUUUCACCUUCUUUUUUCGGUGGUAAGCUGUUUCUCCUUCUUUCAGUUGGUUGAAUACGACAAUGAUGGAAAAUAGAGUGCUUUUGGAUUCCUCUGAUCUUGAUGGCUUUGAUAAGGUAAAUCAAAUACUUUUGUUUGUUUAUAAGCAAACUCUCAAUUGUAAGUCAUUCAUCUUUCUCAUCUUUUCUUUUCAUUUUUUCCAAGAUUUUGCUCUUACUGUAACACAGUUUCACCUUUUUGUAGCUUUAUUUGCUUCUCAGCGCCUUUUAGUCGUUCCUCUUUAAUUUCAUCCUUUUCGUUUUUGGGUAAAAUAGAACUUUAAUUUAAUUUCUUCCUGUUAACAAACAUCUGGCACUCCACAGAGGAAAUUGCCUUCUCCAGGUUUUCAGGUUGAGAUUGUGAUGAUAGACUAUGAUGGUACAAUAUCAUCCAAAUUUAAAGCUGAUCAAGUGGCAAAGGGGUCUGAUGGACGAGUAGGAAGUCAAGCAUCAUCAAGUGAUAGGAAUGACGCGAACACUGCUCAAGUCGAGGUUACACCAAAACGAGAUAAUGAUGACGAUGUUUUUUCAGAUAGUGAUGGAGAGGGGUCUGUACCCUCAAAAAGAAGCGUAGAUAACACAUCAUCUGCGGUGGGAACUACUUCGCCUCUUGAGUCAGGUAGCAAAGAUAACCAAAUUACAUCCUUCACCGAUCAGACCAAACAACUCUCAUUGGGGAGCAAGGAGUCCGCACAUUUUCAGACCAAUACGUCAAAAGAAACGAAAUUUGAUGGUGUUGAGAGGGUUGACUCUAUUCCAAACCUAGGUUCUGGUGAUAUUAAAGCUAUUGCAGCAGACGCUUCUGUUUUCAGUUUUGGAGAUGACGAAGAUUACGAAAGCGAAUGAGCAACAACAGUUGGUUCGCAGGUUAGGAUUGGUUUCCGUUGGCGCUAUAGUGGCUAGAAUUUUCUGACAAAUUAAAGAUAUUUAUUUUUCCUAUACACAUGCUGACCUUUGGCGUCCCUGCUCCUAGUUGAAAUUCUUAUCUGUCCCUGCUCCUAGGAUUGUUUUUGGGUUGAAAUUGUUACCCGAAUGCUAAAUAUUUAUACGCUAAUAUGGCAAUUAAUUUUAGACUGCAUCUGCUGACAAUCAUAUGGAAUUCAGUCCAGACAUCAGGAUCGAUUGAAAACUCUCCUCAUCCUACAAUAGGAACUGCUUUGCUUUUGUUUUUGUUGAUCUUUCACUCCCUUUCAUGUUUCCUCUUCUUUUCAUGUUUUUCACGAGCUUUAAAGCGAAAAUAUUCUUGUACUUUGCUCCGCACGUUAACGAGGCGCUCAAGCUCAGGCAGCCGACUCUGAACUCGAGUCAAGCAUUUGACAUGCUUUGCAAGCAGCUCGAAUUAUCUUACAUCACAGCUUGAAAUAUCCCCCCAAAUCCAGCACAACUAUGAAAAACAAAUUGAAAAAGAAUGGUCGAACUAAAGCUGCAGAAAGUACAUUGUAAAAAGUAGCAACGCCCACCUCGUGAAAUACAUGUACUGUUUCUACCAAGGACGCAAACCAGCGGAAACGUGAAAGUCUGCAAUAAAUGAUACUUAACUUAAUCGCAUCAAACAAGAGCUUCCCACAUCAGUAAGAAAUCUAUAGUUCGUACUGUAAGCAUAAGGACCCAUGGAC
RNAcentral lists this long non-coding RNA (32671 nucleotides) under Coffea arabica (coffee). Its description in RNAcentral is "long non-coding RNA (CARA_LNC004857)". Lineage: Eukaryota; Viridiplantae; Streptophyta; Magnoliopsida; Gentianales; Rubiaceae. The record is from RNAcentral.